AAAGAGCGCGCCGGGGCGUUGGUGCGGGGAGCUGGUGAGGUGCUGCGCUGUGGGGUCCGCGCUAAUUGGGUCCCUUCCCCAGGUGCGGCGAGACAGCGAGGCCCUUGCUUCCCCUCCCGUGGCCCCGGGGCGGAGACCCCUGCCGCACACCCGAGAGCCUUUGGUGAAAUGGAGACCUUUCACCCCGCUUUGCAGAGAAGGAAACGUUCACGGAGUUGGAAUUCCCCUCCGCCCCAAACCCACAUUCCUGGGACAGCAAGGCCUUGAGAUGGAACUCAGGAAGCCAUCGGAUUCCAUCAACGUCAUCACCCCUGAGUUUGCUGCAAGCAGCCAUGGAAACGUCCCAAGUCCGCACCUGCAGGCUCAGUGAGGUUGCUCAAGCCCAGGAACUAACUGAGCUCUCAAACGUAAGAAGGCGUCUCCUCCUGGCUGCACCUGGGAGGCUCAAAGCUGUCCUGAGUCUGCAGCAGCCAGCUCGGGAUGAGAAAGGGUUCACGUGGCAGUUCAUGCCUAUAAUCCCAGCACUUUGGGAGGCUGAGGCAGGAGGACCGCUUGAGCCCAUGAGUUCGA
This is a long non-coding RNA of Homo sapiens (human), 570 nucleotides long. RefSeq lists it as uncharacterized. The record is from RefSeq and is a predicted model, not a curated record. The transcript is spliced from 3 exons. Lineage: Eukaryota; Metazoa; Chordata; Mammalia; Primates; Hominidae.